Podarcis muralis (Common wall lizard) is the source of this 972-nucleotide long non-coding RNA. RefSeq lists it as uncharacterized. The record is from RefSeq and is a predicted model, not a curated record. Lineage: Eukaryota; Metazoa; Chordata; Lepidosauria; Squamata; Lacertidae.
GAGAGAGAGAGAGAGAGAGAGAUGAAAAGUGGGGCAAAAUCGCUGGAAAUGCAUUUGGGCUGACAUAAUUCCUCUUUCCCACAGUGGUCAUUCACUUGGGAGGCUCCAAUGUCCAUUCACUGUCUUAAAGCUAGCUUUUCAGAGCCUGGGGAGGCCAUCUUUCGCUGCCUGAAUGCCUUUUUUGUUGCUAAACAGUGAACUGUUUCUGAAGCCCAGCAUAAAGGAGAAAACCUGUGUUGAAAGGAAUUUGUUCUAAGCCUCUGAGACAAUGGAGAUCUACCCCACCCACAGUGUUUGAAAAAAGAGCAACUCAUGUGAAGCUUGCCUUCCUUCCCACCUCCCCUGGCUUUGAACAGGAAGGACAACUUGGUGCUAAAGAACACAGAGUGACUCAUGAGCAACAGCGAUGAAUCUGUUUGGGCUUCCCUUUGAAACCGAAUUUGGGUGUCAACAGCAGAAGGGCUGAGAAGACUUCUGCACGAUGACAGCCGCUCUGAAUGUAUGUAGGAAUGACACACAGGCAUGUGAUUCAUGCAUCAGGACACCAAAUGCAGAAAACGAUGAGUGCUUUGAAAGAAGACACAGAACAGAACACCAUUUUUUCCUAGCUUAUUAGGAGUUUGCCCAGGAAUGAAGAGUGCUAGCUUCAUGGCAGGGACAGAGCCACAGGAGCUACUUUGUGGGCUCAUGUGUGGCAUGUUGAAAACAACCACCUAUUUAUCCUUUUUGAAAUUCGCCAGCCAGCAAGAUGUGUGGGUGGGUGUGCGUGUGGGUGUUUCGGUGUGUCUGCUGAAGUUUUCUUGCUGGGUCGGAAAGGCAGACCUAUUCAGAGAGCUCUUCCAUGCCUUUGGCUAGGGCUCCAUCCAUCCCCAUGGUGCCUUGAGAGAAAGCUUCAAAAAUGCCUGGAUGGAUACAAAGCCGGGCAGCUCUGCAACAUCCACUUAGCGUGCUAUAAACUAAAGGGGGAGGGAA